GCCCAAGUGCACCCUAAAAAGACGGAAAAACUAACAACAGCAACAAAACCACUGUAUAGAGAAACCCUGUAGUCUUCUGCCUCACUCCUCUUCAUAGGCUACCACACUCCUCCUUUCCCUGUUGCUUUAGGUGUUCAAAAAGAGCUUCUGCUGUUACUUUGCUUACUUCCUGAUGCGUCUCUGUUCCACCCGCGCUAAUGCCUUCCUGUUGGGGCCGACGAGGAUACCUCGAUCUUACAAAUCCACCACAAACCCACUCCACUUCCCCUUCCCCAUCUUCCCAAAGUUGUUAAAUCAUAGCUUUGGCUUAAUCAGUGUUUAUAUAAUGAUCAAUAUGUGUAAUUUUCACAGAGUCAAAACAUACAGUCUGACGCCUUUCUUGUAAAUGGGAUGAGCCCAUUGGACUUCAUCUGUACCAACGUAAUGACUCUUAAAAAUGUUUCCUUUUCUGAUUUUAAAAGUAAAACACGUUCACGUUGGACAUUUUAAUUCAGAAACAUCACAAGAAAGAACUGGAAAUCACUGCAGUCAUAGUCCCUGUAUAAACCGCUGCCCUCGCCAUCCCUCUGAUCCCUUGUCUUCUCUCCAAGGACCCAGUCAGCGCUGCCUGGCUAUCUGCACGGUGUCGCUGAGCUGCCCUUGACCCCUGAGGUGGCUUGGAGCAUCCACUCUCCCUGCUGCUGCCAUCUCGAGUCUGCCUCUGCCAGCUUGCAGAUCUCUGCUGCCGUGUCUCUCUGUACUUCUGGACCCAAGAAAAUCAAGGCGAGAGGCCAGGUGUUUCAAACCGCAUUCUGUAACAACAGUGCCAAGCCCACCUUGACUUCUGGCUACCACUCCACCCGGAGCACCGCCAAGGGAGCGCUGGUGACCGCCCUCAAGCCACUACCCCCCUCCCUCCGCCACUUCCUCUGUGAAACCUCUCCCUUCCCCCGCCUUGUUCUCCCUUCCUGCCUCUUGUUCACACUUAGAUCGGAGCACUUUUGACUAAGUGUUCUGCGCUCAUCUCCUCCCAGCCCUGAGAGGGCAGGAUGAAGAGCAAGCUGAAAUAUUCGCAGGAGGAAGGAGGGUUCCGCUGAGCCAGGCUGCACCGUGGUGCUUAAAUCCCAGGAAAGGGACUUUCUACUCAAACCAAAAGACCACAGGGAAGUGUGAUAUUUUCUUGGAGCAGGGUAGUGUGCCUUAAAAACGAGCCAGGUCGUCGUGUGAGAGUCGGAAGGGAAUGUGGCAAAACCAGUUAGGAAGGCACCUGCAGUGACCCUGCGCUGAGAUGUUAAGUGCACGGUGGAUGCAGUGACGUGGAGACGAAGCAGCACAUGCAAAAGGUAUUUCAAGAGAAAUAACAACAAGUGAGAUUCGCUGAGUUCCUGCGCUUUGCUGGGCUGGGCCAGCAAGGUGGUAACGGACUCGCCCCCAUCUCGCCCACGUGCAAGUAAGAUGUGGCCGGACUGAGCGAUUCUCCCGGGGUCACGGCGAGUGGCGUUGCGGAGCUUCCAGUGUAGGGCGUGGGGCUCGAAAGACCUCAGCUGCCCCAUCCCGGGCACCGCUGUCCGCGCUGCGGGGUGAGGACUCCUGAGCCGAGGCCUCAGCUCCUCGACUGAGCGAGGAGAGCCUCGCGGGGCCGGGCGCCCGCGUCCAGUGGCGCUUGGUCAAGCUGCCCGUCCGGGUCGGGACCUUCGAGCCCGGCACCUCCGGGCGGAAGAAGGCGCGUGGCGGCGGCAGGCGGGCCCCGGGGCGGAAGCGGCUGAGUCACCGCGGGGCCGGGACGCAGUCCCCGCAGAGGGGCUGACGCCGGCCGGCCGCACCUGCAGGUCCGUCGGGAAGCCGCCCUGACCGGAAGGGCUGAGUCCGCGCCGGCUGCGGGCGGCCCGAGCCGCCGGUGCCCAGGCCCCACCCGCGGGUCCCGGGCCACCCCCGCGCCGCCACCCGGCCGAUGCUGCCGAGGCUUGGACUCCGCGACCGAAACUUGACUUCUUGAAGCAGCGCCCAUCCGCAGGCGCUGCGUGCAGGGUUCAGGGCCAGCUCCGACCGUGUGAACGGAGACGACCGCGUCUCAAAGACUCAAAGGGUUUCGAACUCAAAGGGACUUGCCCAGGACCAGAACUGAUUCGCUGGACUCGCUUCCCGAAUUUAGUAAAUAACAGCGAAAACAAAACACUCGACGUCUUUUUGUAAUGCAAGAACAAAAUGUCCAGAUUCCAAGAGAAAAUAAAGCUUGGUUUCCGAGAUAAAGUUGCAACAGGAUGGGAGCACAGCAGAGGGAGCUUUCCGGAGAUCCCAGGCGAAUAAGAGCCGAAGGCGUUUCUCCAGCUGGUUCCCUCUUCUACCCUGCUGGGGCCUGCACGCAUUUUUACAUAAUAAUGUUUUAUUGUUUUUGUUGAAGUUUCUUUUUUAGUCAAAAACCGAUACUAUAGAAAUUGCUGGGGGACAGUGGAAUUACAGUCCCUCCACCAGAAACCACAGUUACUUUUGCUUCUUUCUUUAAGUUAAUGUUCACAGAAAGAUUUUUACAUAGCUGAGACAGAGCUGUCAUUUUCCAUUUCCUGUUUUCAGGUAGUGUUCUGUGACAUCGGCCCAUAUCCUACAGAUCUUCAGGAUCAUUAUUUUAAAAACUGCAUUAUUUAUUUAAACUACUGAAUUGUUGUUGGUGUGCUUGUAGGUUAUUUAUUGACUGUAGGUUGUUGUUGUUCUCACCGUUAACUUUAGGGUUAUUAUGCCUCGAUUGUCUUAUUAUUAUCUGGAUUAAAUAGCCAAUCCCUUGAAUUGGUAUUUUAAUUCCCUAAAAGACAGGGAUGUCUGAUAGAGCAGCUAGCAGGAACCCUUCGCAGGAAUGAUGUGCUUCACACCUCAAACUGCUGUAAUUCAUACGCUCUCUGGGCGGCAGGUUGCCUAUUGCGCCUCUGUUGUUCCCGGUCCUCCGCAGGGAAACAUUCUCACUGGGCAAAGCGAGGGAGAGUGACUGCCAACCACUGCAGGACAGGAAGGCUGAUUUUAAGAGUUGGCAUCAUUUCCCCAAAUGGGUUUUUGAUAUUUUAUCCCACCUGGAUAAUCACAGCCUCUCUUUAAUGCUGUAAGGUUUACAUUUUAAUAGACCGGGGUUCCUGUUGUGAUGCAGUGGCAGCGGAUCCGUAUCCAUGAGGACGAGGGUUUGAUCCUUGGCCUGGCUCAGUGGGUUGGCGAUCCAGUGUUGCCGUGAGCUGUGGUGUAGGUCUCAGACACAGCUCUGAUUUAACCCCUAGCCUCUAUAUGCCUUGGGUGCAGCCUUAAAAAAGCAAAAAAAAAAAAAAAAAAAAAGAAAAAGACCAGACCUUUCCAGGAGUUUGACAGAUGUGGGAUUCAGGGUUGUGUUUUAAGACAUUUUCAGAUUUUCAUCAAGCAGUUUCAAGUGCCACUGUUUACCGUCGUCUGUACGACUGCCUCAGUCUUAAGUUUUCUCAUCUGAAAAAUGGGAGUAUUAACAGCACAUACUUAAUAAAUUGCUGUGCGAAUGAAA
Phacochoerus africanus (Common warthog) is the source of this 3490-nucleotide long non-coding RNA. RefSeq lists it as uncharacterized. The transcript is spliced from 2 exons. The record is from RefSeq and is a predicted model, not a curated record. Lineage: Eukaryota; Metazoa; Chordata; Mammalia; Artiodactyla; Suidae.